UGGGUUGUGGCUCAGUGGCAGAGUGCUUGCCUAGCACAUGUGAGGCACUGAGUUCAAUCCUCAGCACCACAA
RNAcentral lists this transfer RNA (72 nucleotides) under Marmota marmota marmota (Alpine marmot). It matches the Rfam family "tRNA". Rfam says of the family: Transfer RNA (tRNA) molecules are approximately 80 nucleotides in length. Their secondary structure includes four short double-helical elements and three loops (D, anti-codon, and T loops). RNAcentral also lists the same sequence under 4 other names. The record is from Rfam by way of RNAcentral. Lineage: Eukaryota; Metazoa; Chordata; Mammalia; Rodentia; Sciuridae.